GCUGAAGGUAACGGCGGACCUGUUAGUGUCACGCCUUAGAGAUUUAUUUCUCAGGCUCUUUAGGAUUUUUUUGUUUUCUCUUCUUCUUUUUUUUUUUUGAGUCUUCAGAGAGGCAAGAGUAAUUUCUCCCUUCCACUGUUGGGAAUCUGAGCUUCUGUUACUCUCAGAGAACCCCCUUUCCCGCAUCUUUUCCUUUAUACCUUUACUCUUCUGCGGGCUAGACUCUCCCUCGGUCCUCCAAGACGUCUCGCCGUUUUAUUUGAUUUUAGUUCUGUUCUUUGAGAGAAUCCCAGCCCCGGAGUUAUCUUUCCUUCCCUCUUUAGCGGACCCCUGCUCGCCUCCAUCCUCGUCCUCGGUCUGAGGCAUGGAGCCUGACGGCUCUCGGGAAUCCCCACCGCGGGAGGGCUCUUCCUGUCCUGGACAGUGGCCUUUCUCCGCCCUCGGACAGGCCUUCUCCCAGAUCUUGCACCAGUUUGCCGGUCAGGAAUCCCGACGGGGCAAGGCCAGAAAUGCAGCUCUUCGGGACCUCAGUGCUGUACUAGAUGCCAAAGAAUGUGAUCAGUUGUUUGCGGGGAGUGACACCUCGCUCCGUGGAAUGCCCGAGAUGCUGGGGCAGGUGGCAAAAGCCCUGGGGAAGUAUGCAGCUCCUCCCGAGGGGCCGGAAGGGGGAGGUGAUCGUCACUCCGAAGUGGCCGAGAAAGCGGCAGCAGUUGGGUUACUCUUCCUUAAGCUGUUGAGGAAAGUUGAGACCGCUAAGAAUUCCUUGGUUUGCCCUGCAUGGAAGGCAGGCCUCCGUCACUUGGCAGGACCCAUCUAUAUUUUUGCCAUCACACACAACUUGGAGCAACCAUGGACCAGCCCAAAAUCUCAGGGCGUCGCUGGACAGGUGCUCGCCUUACUGCUUCAGGUUACUGAGUGUGGUUCUGUGGCUGGAUUCCUCCACGGAGAAAAUGAAGAUGAGAAAGGGAGAUUUACUGCGGUCAUGGGGCUUCUCAAACCCGAUUUGAAUAAGGACUCCUGGAAGAGUAACCCAGCCACCAAACAUGUUUUCUCAUGGACUCUGCAAAAGGUCACUCGACCCUGGCUGAGCCAACAUCUGGAAAGGGUACUUCCCCCGUCAUUGCUCAUCUCAGAUGACUAUCAAACCGAGAACAAAAUCCUGGGUGUCCACUGCCUCCAUCACAUUGUGCUAAAUGUGCCAGCUGCUGAUCUGCUGCAGUACAACAGGGCCCAAGUCCUAUACCAUGCCCUUUUCAACCACCUGUACACACGGGAGCACCACCUCAUUCAGGCUGUGCUCCUGUGUCUGCUGGAUUUAUUCCCCAUCCUGGAGAAAGCCCUGCACUGGAAGGGAGAUGCAGCCCGACCCACCACACAUUGUGACGAGGUCCUGCAGCUGAUUCUGACGCACAUGGAGCCCGAGCACCGCCUUCUCUUACGCAGGACUUACGCAAGAAACCUACCGGCUUUCGUGAAGAGGUUGGGGAUCUUAACUGUCCGGCACUUGAAGAGGCUGGAUCGAGUCAUCAUUGGUUAUCUGGAGGUUUAUGAUGGACCCGAGGAGGAGGCUAGAUUGAAGAUAUUGGAAGCCCUAAAACUUCUCAUGCAGUAUACUUGGCCCAGAGUUCCCUGUAGACUUGUGGUCUUACUGAAGGCUCUCUUGAAACUGAUAUGUGAUGUAGCAAGGGAUUCAAGCCUCACACCCGAAUCUGUUAAGAGUGCCUUGUUAGAAGAGGCCACAGACUGCCUGAUUCUCCUGGACCGCUGCUCUGAAGGACAGGUGAAGGGUCUCCUGGCUAAAAUUCCCCAAAGCUGUGAAGACAGUAAGGUGGGGAACUGUAUCCGAAGAGUGCAGCAGGUUUCUGAAGGAGCUCCCUACAAUGCAACUUAAGACUUGUAUUACUUUCCUGAAGAGGAAAAGAUUUUCUUUCUGUUCCAAUUGUUUUAAAUGGAAUCAUUUCAGGAAAAAGAUCUCAUCGGGCUGGUGGCGCAGUGGUUAAGAGUCCGCCUGCCAAUGCAGGGGACACGGGUUCGAGCCCUGGUCUGGGAGGAUCCUACAUGCAGCAGAGCGGCUGGGCCCGUGCGCUGCAACUACUGAGCCUACGCUCUAGAGCCUGCAAGCCACGACUACUGAAGUCUGUGAGCCCAGGGCCCGUGCUCCACAAUGGGAGAAGCCACCGCAAUGAGAAGCCUGUACACCGCGACAAAGAGUAGCCACCCACUUACCACAACUAGAGAAAGCCCGUGCACAGCAACGAAGACACAACACAGCCAAAAAUAAAUAAAUAACAUCUGAAGAGCCACUGUCUGCCUCCUGCUGUUCCAGGGCCUUGUCGAAGGCAUGGAUGGGGAAGUUGUAGAUGUCGCCAUACUAAAGAACAUAAACGUGGGUCAGCUUUAACCACAUUUGGAUCUUAUGCUUGAAGUCCACUGUCCAACAAGUAUAUUAUUUUCCUCAGUGAUCAAACAAGAAUAAUUAGUAAUAUUACUAUAUUAUUGUCAGGCCUAGAGCCAGCAGUGUCUUUCAAAAACCCAUAUUUGACAUUUAAAUAAUCAGCGAUUAAUACCAAACAGGCACCUUCUAUGAAGGAUGGAUACCAGAUCACUUAAAACUUAAUAGUCUAUAAAACCCAUGGAUUGGAACAAAUGUAAUUUUGCUGAUAAAGGGGAAAUAGUAGGAAAAAGUAAGUUUUAUUCAUGUUGUUUCUGUAAAUGACAUAAAUUUUUCAAAAGACAAUAAAAAUUCAUUUUAAAGAACCUUAAAAGUCUAGGAUGAAUAGGCAGGAGGAUCGAAACUGUACGGCUUUUAUAGAGAGAUCUGGAGUUGUUGUGUUUGGGAGGGGGAGUUGGGAAUAAUGGCAAAAAAGGAAAGGUCUCUCUACUGAAGUAUCAAGAGUAAAGUAUUUUAUGUGCUUGAUCAGGAAACUAAAAUGAGGAAGCCAGGGCCUAUAUGAUAUCUAUUUUAUUCCAGUAAUAAAAUCAAGGUGAAGAUCUUUCUAGCAUCCUUAAAAAUAAAACACAUUUCCCACUAUUCCUACAUUUCCUAGCAUAUUACCACCUAAAAAAUAAAAUCUGUACCCCAAAGUUCCUAGCUUUCUCACCGUAUCUUGUUUCAGUCUCUCUAGCAAUUCCUUUUCGAUGGCGUUGUCCAGCUGAGCAGCUAUUAAUGCCUUUUCCUGUAAGAGAAAAAGAGCAAACCCAUUUACUUCAUUAGACUCAUUUUUCAGCCUGUAGA
Molecule: RNA transcript, 3235 nt
Organism: Lagenorhynchus albirostris (white-beaked dolphin)
Lineage: Eukaryota; Metazoa; Chordata; Mammalia; Artiodactyla; Delphinidae
Gene: TTI2
Gene name: TELO2 interacting protein 2
Exons: 9
Source: RefSeq, a predicted model, not a curated record